This is a long non-coding RNA of Megachile rotundata (alfalfa leafcutting bee), 1425 nucleotides long. The record is from RefSeq and is a predicted model, not a curated record. NCBI's taxonomy places the organism in Eukaryota, Metazoa, Arthropoda, Insecta, Hymenoptera, Megachilidae.
CGUCGUUGAGCAACAAGAUUACCGAAAUUAAUGACUUCGUGCGAUAAAAUGCUAGCGAGGUUAGACUCCAUCUAUUGUAUCGAACAAUCGACGGCAUUUCGAUUGAAAUGCACCUGUGUUACUCGUCACGUGAUCGGAGUGACUAAACAAUUACGAACCAUCUUAAAUUUAAAUUUCGAUUAAUAUAAAUAUGUCUGGUCUUUAUUUCACUGUUGGUAUUAUAGUUCGGUAAGUUUAUUACGAAGCUGUGAAUACCGUAUUGCAAAUAUAAGUGACCGCUGCCCCUUUAGCGUGUCUGCGUAAAUGGCAUGUUUAAUCACGUCACUGUAAUUUAAAAACACGUAAAUAGAGAACGUAAUAGAGCAAAAAGCAUUAAAUAUUUAAUGCAAGAGUUCAAAACAUAUUAUCAUAUAGAAAAAUCUAUUUUAAAAAAUUACUGAUCAUAUUCGAAAUUAUUGGUAUAAAAAAAUUUUUAUUAACAUUUUGCAACAUUUAGAAUAUAAACACAAGUUUUUCAUACAGUAAUUAAUUUUCCACGCAGGGUUUGAAAGAACUGUUGCUAUAUUUAACAUAGAUGAAGUCCUUGAUAUUUAAGAAGGUUUCACUUCCGGAAAUCGCACGUGUAUCACGUGAUUAUUCGGUAUCGUUUGAUUUUAAAUAUUCAAAAAUAAAUAAGACAAAAUGUUUUAGGCAAAGAAGAACCAAACGGAUUUGAAAUUCGUAGGAGAGUUUACGAAGCUGCACCCGUACAAUCACUUGUGAUACAAAUCUUCUGUUGACUAAUACACAUAUUUAAUGGUUCUUUGAAUUUGUUACCAAUUACCUUUUACCUUUAACGACCUCCUACUAUUGACAAUGCAAAGACCGGAUCUAGAAGCUCAUUUCAAAUUCCAAGGACACAAUCAUUUGAAACAAUAUGGUAAAAUUACAAUUGAACAAGUUGUGUCUAUUCAACAAGUUUUAACAAAUCCGUGCACGUAAAACUGGUAUCAGAACACUGAUAAGAGGAUUUAACUAAGUGAAAACAACAGUGUCUUGUAAAAAGGUCUACUACUUUUCCACUACUGAAUUAGUAUUAAUUCCACGUCGGUUUAAUCACAUACUUGAUAAUGCCACCAGGGAACAGAAGGACAAUGCUCAAUAGUAUUCAUUGUCCUAUUUAAUACAUUCGCAAUAUGCAAAAUAACGCGAGAUCUAACAAGCACACUGCGCUUUUUCAUUACUACAGCAAUUAAUAGCUAAGAAUUACCUUAUCUAAUCCCAUCGAUUCAUCACCCUGUGUUCAGGAAGUCUUCGAUUAUAGGUCGUUGGACUUGCAGAUUCAAACACGGAGAAAAUCAAUAAGAAUUAUCAUCUGAAAUAACUGUUCAAUUCCAUAAUUAUCCAAACAAUCAAUUUGGUUUUUUUAUAGAAAAAUAUAUUAAA